GUUGAAAGUGCUCGGUACAAGGAGAGGUAGAAAUAUUAGAAUUUUGAAGGUUCGCGGAUCCUGCUGAUGGAUUUUCACCUCGUAUUGUAAAUGGAGAAUGACCAGAAAUACCUCUUUUCCCCCACAAUCAUUGCCCUUUCGAUCAGACGACUAAGGCCGAGCCCAUCAGAGCUGCAGAAGUGGGGACGGUGACUUUUGGCAGUUUUCAGUCAGCUCUGAGGUAUGCAGGUAUGAAGGCACACUUAGCAAUCGAACAGUAACAGAAAACCGUUUACAUGUGGCAUCUGACGAAUGGGUUACAGAGAUGGCAUUGGUAGAGCGGGCUGCUGCUCCACAUUGAUCAGAGGAAGGCUUCUUAUUGUCCAGGACUGGACCUGCUCAUAGACAUUUGUGUGAGUGACUGUCCUUGCUCCUUCCUCCCUGCUCUCCUCCAAACAGCCUGCAGUGUGUAGAGAAGAGGGCAGUAUUGCUGUGUCCUUCCAUGGCUGAUCGUGUGCUUCUUUAACUUCGGAGAUGAAGGAGGACUUACAGAGGACCCAUCCGACCCUGCUGCCUUCAAUAGAGACGUGCUGAUAGUGAACACAUGAUGACACGGCAGACAGACCGGAGAUGACAACUAAAACACAUGGCGUCUGGAGUCCCAGGGUGUGUUUAUGAACUAUCAGCUACUUUGACUAGUCUCCUACACAGGACCUGCUCAGUUCAUCAGCUGGUUCCUUUUUCUUUCGUGGACUGGGAAAAGUUUCCAGCAUCAACAUCAACAACAAAAAAAAGGCAAUUUCAGUUCAGUUCUCUUUAAAUCUAUCUGAUUCAGUUCAUUUCAGUUCAGUUCUCAUUAAAUCUAUCUGAUUCAGUUCAUUUCAGUUCAGUUUAAUUCUUGUUGCAAGAAACUAUGGCAACUAGCCCUAAGGAAGUGUUUCAGCCAAUCACAUCCAGGGGAAAGUCUUCAAAUGGUUUUCAAUUGGUUGGGUGGAUUUGAUGCUUUUUUACUAGGAAUUCUGCCCGGCCUUUCCUGGUGUAUAAAUGCUUUGUGUG
Long non-coding RNA from Eleginops maclovinus (Patagonian blennie), 1035 nucleotides. RefSeq lists it as uncharacterized. The transcript has 5 exons. The record is from RefSeq and is a predicted model, not a curated record. Lineage: Eukaryota; Metazoa; Chordata; Actinopteri; Perciformes; Eleginopidae.